UACGAAGGGGGCUAGCGUUGUUCGGAAUUACUGGGCGUAAAGGGCGCGUAGGCGGCGUGGUAAGUCACUUGUGAAAUCUCUGAGCUUAACUCAGAACGGCCAAGUGAUACUGCUGUGCUAGAGUGGCAGAAGGGGCAAUCGGAAUUCUUGGUGUAGCGGUGAAAUGCGUAGAUAUCAGGAGGAACAUCGAUGGCGAAGGCAGCCCCUUGGACCUGUACUGACGCUCAUGCACGAAAGCGUGGGGAGCAAACAGG
RNAcentral lists this ribosomal RNA (254 nucleotides) under uncultured bacterium. RNAcentral's name for it is "partial 16S ribosomal RNA". It matches the Rfam family "Bacterial small subunit ribosomal RNA", at positions 524 to 776 of the family's 1533-position model. The record is from RNAcentral.